CCUACGGGAGGCAGCAGUGGGGGAUAUUGCACAAUGGGGGAAACCCUGAUGCAGCGACGCCGCGUGGGUGAAGAAGCGCCUCGGCGCGUAAAGCCCUUUCAGCAGGGAAGAAAAUGACGGUACCUGAAGAAGAAGCCCCGGCUAACUACGUGCCAGCAGCCGCGGGAAAACGUAGGGGGCAAGCGUUAUCCGGAUUUACUGGGUGUAAAGGGGGCGCAGACGGCGAUGCAAGCCAGGAGGGAAAGCCCGGGGCCCAACCCCGGGACUGCUCUUGGAACUGCGUGGCUAGAGUGCAGGAGGGGCAGGCGGAAUUCCUGGUGUAGCGGUGAAAUGCGUAGAUAUCAGGAGGAACACCGGUGGCGAAGGCGGCCUGCUGGACUGCAACUGACGUUGAGGCCCGAAAGCGUGGGGAGCAAACAGGAUUAGAUACCCCUGUAGUC
This 440-nucleotide ribosomal RNA is filed under the name uncultured bacterium. Its description in RNAcentral is "partial 16S ribosomal RNA". It matches the Rfam family "Bacterial small subunit ribosomal RNA", at positions 338 to 795 of the family's 1533-position model. The record is from RNAcentral.